Molecule: long non-coding RNA, 1471 nt
Organism: Magnolia sinica
Lineage: Eukaryota; Viridiplantae; Streptophyta; Magnoliopsida; Magnoliales; Magnoliaceae
Exons: 2
Source: RefSeq, a predicted model, not a curated record
UUUUUUUUAAAAUUCGAUUUGAUGUUGAUUUCAUCAGAUUUGAUGGUUUACUUUUGAAAUUCUUUGUUGUCGGGUUCUAUUCAAAGUCAGGUGGUGAAUUGAGAGGAAUGUCUGACAGGAUGGUCUCCUCCCUCGAGAACCUGCAAAAUCCAGGCAACAUCUCUCACCUCGCGCAAGGAGAGGCUACCGAGACUGACAAGAUACUCAUGGGCCCUCUCAGCUUCAGUGUUGAUCAGCUGAUGGUUGGUUGUCCAAUUGCUUUGUGGUUGUGUAUUGUCUUUGGUUUUUUUUUUUAAUGGCUCUGAUUUACUUAUGGGUUUGUGAUUGCAGGAGUUGACAGGCUUAAGCAUGGUAAUGUCAAUAGUAGAGAUACAAAAUGAAGAAGGCAAGGUAAUAACUCCCAACUAUGCUCUUAUUUAUGAAGACAAUGAAGGAGAUCGAAUGCAUGUCGGCAAUGUGCCAUGGGAGUAUGUCUAUUACAUUUGAUUUUGCAUUUCUGUUGUUGCAAACUUCUUUAGAAAGUAGAAAUCAACUAUUGUUUCUAGCUUUUGAUGCAUUGAUUAUGUAAAAAAAUCAACAUUGUAGGGUAAUCCAGUUUUAAAUUUUGUCAAUAUCCAUUGACGAGGCAUGGAUAUUGUAGUGCUCUUAUUAUUGUUAGAUUUGUUAGAUCUAGAUAUUCAUUGGAGUUUCAGCUUCGCUCCUUUAACAUGAUUGAAGGCGGUCUUUAGAAAAUCUAAAGCUUGUUCUUCAAUGGGUUUCCUUUUUUUUUUUUUUCUAUUAUUGAGAGCAUCAUUGACAUGAAAGGGUGGAUUGGUUGCUGAAAAUAGGUUCUUGGAGGAACAUUAGGAGAGUUGCUUACACUUUGGGUAGGUUUUUGCAUAGUGAGUAAGUGCUUUUGAGGUCAAAUCUUAGAGAUGCAUCAACUGUGGUGGGGGUGUUUUUGCCCUAACCUUGGCUCAAAUCUUGGGAUGUUUAUACCUUAAUUAGGCCUUUUUUAGGGGUUUUUCUUUUGCUGGGUUUUAUUUUUUCUGUAAAAUGAAGUAGAUCUGGUUUGAUUCUCGUGUUCUUCUACCCUCAUAGCUCUGAUCUGGUUGAAAUGUUAAGGUUUUGAAUGUUGAUUAUAGAUUUGGUUUAUGAUUUUUUUUUCCUUUCAGCCAGAAGAUUUGAUUGUAAGAACUCUUGGCCAAAAAUAGAAAAUACCUUCAUGGGCAGCCACCUUAGGCAAUUAUGUCAUACUGCGCCUUGUGUUAUAAUCAAGGUCUUUUGCAUGGGAACUUCUUCUUUAGUUUUGUUGCAAGCAAGAUCACCUUUCUUGGUAUUUUACAUUUUUUCUAGCAACUCUGAUAAGGUUCAUUAUGUAUUUUGCAUUUUUUCUAGUAACUCACAUGUUCUUGGUUGAUGAGACUAGAGAGCAGAAAAUUCUAAAUAGGAGAUUUGUAGGAAAGCUUUGAAGUCUAAAGAUUAAAAACUG